CUAGUUAUUUUGUGCUAUGUAAUGAUUGCUACAAAGUAAAUAUUUCGCAAUCGCGUAUAGGCAUAUGUAUGUCCAUAUAAGGAACGAAAUAUGACACGUGUCAGCGCUUGUAUGCAAAUUUUUUGAGCGCGUCGUUUGAAAACUCUUUUGAUCGUAUAUUCAUCGAGAUGUUUAUGCUGCUGUGUUAAAAAGACGUUUUGAGCGUAUUUACUCGACUAUUUUGGUACUUCUAAAUAUCCUAAACAACAACGGGCUCCCAUAAGGAAAUUUCAAGGCAAUUGGUUGUGGUAUUAUCUCAGAAAUAUCUUGAGAAGCCAAAUGACGUAUUCUACUUUACUGCGAUCUCUUCAGCAAGUUGUGGUCAAAGAAAAUAUCAUUGCAAUAAUAGGUAAAGGCAGAAUUUGGCAGUAAAAUGUGCAAGAACUAUUAGUCCAUGGUAUGGUUGGCAAAUUUCAAUCUAUCAAGAGUUGUCAAGAAUGCCAAAUACUGUGCCAAGAAGUUUGUAUUGGUUCUUUCGAACCAGAUAGAAACAACAAACAAGAUUGGCCGCACAGAGA
Dendronephthya gigantea is the source of this 557-nucleotide long non-coding RNA. RefSeq lists it as uncharacterized. The record is from RefSeq and is a predicted model, not a curated record. The transcript is spliced from 3 exons. NCBI's taxonomy places the organism in Eukaryota, Metazoa, Cnidaria, Anthozoa, Malacalcyonacea, Nephtheidae.